GCCUUGAAGCAAGUUCAUCCUAUGAAUCGUGUCAGGUUCGAGAGAAAGCAGCACUAAGUAGAUUUUGGACUGUGCUUCUUGUUAUU
RNAcentral lists this signal recognition particle RNA (86 nucleotides) under Lactobacillus sp. S2-2. RNAcentral's name for it is "signal recognition particle sRNA small type". It matches the Rfam family "Bacterial small signal recognition particle RNA". Rfam says of the family: The signal recognition particle (SRP) is a universally conserved ribonucleoprotein involved in the co-translational targeting of proteins to membranes. Archaeal SRP consists of a 7S RNA and homologues of the eukaryotic SRP19 and SRP54 proteins. Lineage: Bacteria; Bacillati; Bacillota; Bacilli; Lactobacillales; Lactobacillaceae. The record is from RNAcentral.